This 519-nucleotide ribosomal RNA is filed under the name Shigella sonnei. RNAcentral's name for it is "bacterial SSU rRNA". It matches the Rfam family "Bacterial small subunit ribosomal RNA", at positions 1 to 509 of the family's 1533-position model. Lineage: Bacteria; Pseudomonadati; Pseudomonadota; Gammaproteobacteria; Enterobacterales; Enterobacteriaceae. The record is from RNAcentral.
AAAUUGAAGAGUUUGAUCAUGGCUCAGAUUGAACGCUGGCGGCAGGCCUAACACAUGCAAGUCGAACGGUAACAGGAAACAGCUUGCUGUUUCGCUGACGAGUGGCGGACGGGUGAGUAAUGUCUGGGAAACUGCCUGAUGGAGGGGGAUAACUACUGGAAACGGUAGCUAAUACCGCAUAAUGUCGCAAGACUAAAGAGGGGGACCUUCGGGCCUCUUGCCAUCGGAUGUGCCCAGAUGGGAUUAGCUAGUAGGUGGGGUAACGGCUCACCUAGGCGACGAUCCCUAGCUGGUCUGAGAGGAUGACCAGCCACACUGGAACUGAGACACGGUCCAGACUCCUACGGGAGGCAGCAGUGGGGAAUAUUGCACAAUGGGCGCAAGCCUGAUGCAGCCAUGCCGCGUGUAUGAAGAAGGCCUUCGGGUUGUAAAGUACUUUCAGCGGGGAGGAAGGGAGUAAAGUUAAUACCUUUACUCAUUGACGUUACCCGCAGAAGAAGCACCGGCUAACUCCGUGCC